Molecule: transfer RNA, 85 nt
Filed under: Mycobacteroides abscessus subsp. abscessus
Lineage: Bacteria; Bacillati; Actinomycetota; Actinomycetes; Mycobacteriales; Mycobacteriaceae
Description: tRNA-Tyr(gta)
Rfam family: tRNA
About the family: Transfer RNA (tRNA) molecules are approximately 80 nucleotides in length. Their secondary structure includes four short double-helical elements and three loops (D, anti-codon, and T loops).
Source: RNAcentral
CGGCCAGUUGGGCUUGUUGGGUGGCCCACCAGACUGUAAAUCUGGCGCCUUCGGGCAUCGCAGGUUCGAUUCCUGCCUGGCCGAC